RNAcentral lists this ribosomal RNA (445 nucleotides) under uncultured prokaryote. RNAcentral describes it as "partial 16S ribosomal RNA". The record is from RNAcentral.
CCCUCCGGGGCGCAGCAGGGGAUCAUGCAUGCCAUAAAUCGCGGGCUGGAGCUCAUGGGAUCGGCAGGCUAUGCCAAGGAGUGGCACGUAGAAAAGCACUGGAGGGACGUGAAGACCAUCCAGUCGAUACUUUAUGGAGUUGCUGCCGAGGCGCCAAUCAAGAUGGACACUGCCCGUUUUUUCUAUAACUGCACUGAAAUUUAAGGAGGGGUUUGACCAUGAAACAUAUUGACGAAUUCUCCCGAUCCGAAGAGUACAUAUCCCCGUUUGACAGGCACUUCAGGCGCCUGCUCAGAAAAACGAUCGAGGAAUCAAUCAUGCCUUUCCGGAGAGGGUAUGACGAGGACUGGAAGGAUCACCAUCUCAUCGAGCCUGCCUUCGACAGGAUUAUGGUCGGACUCGGUCUUCAGAAGGGCCUGGUUCCAAUUGAACACGGCGGGGGGGC